CAAUAGCGUAUAUUAAAGUUGUUGCAGUUAAAAAGCUCGUAGUUGAAUUUCUGGCGGGCGCGCCGGUCUUCCGAGUGUUGUACUGGGCGCAGUCCGCCAUCCUUGUGGAGAGGGCUCGCAUUGAGUUGCGUGUCGGAUCUGCAUCAUUUACUGUGAAAAAAUUAGAGUGUUUAAAGCAGGCUGUCGCUUGAAUACAUUAGCAUGGAAUAAUAAGAUAGGACUUCGGUCUAUUUUGUUGGUUGCGAACCGAGGCAAUGAUUAAUAGGGAUAGUUGGGGGUAUUCAUAUUUAAUUGUCAGAGGUGAAAUUCUUGGAUUUAUGAAAGAUGAACAACUGCGAANGNAUUUACNAAGGAUGUUUNCAUUA
Molecule: ribosomal RNA, 365 nt
Filed under: uncultured eukaryote
Lineage: Eukaryota
Description: partial 18S ribosomal RNA
Rfam family: Eukaryotic small subunit ribosomal RNA
Source: RNAcentral